GGGCAUAAAACACAAACUGUGAUAUUGAAAAUUUUUUAAUUUUCACUAAAAGAUGGUAUCUACAUCGUUAUCAAUUCUACAAUUAAAAAACAUUUUGAGAAAAAGUUACAUUUUCACUUUUCAGGAAACCAUUUUCUCUCACCUCAAUUCUUGGCCAAUGGCCAGCGAAGCUGAGAUAAUGUUUGGUACGAAAGCCAACAAAAAAAUUUCAACGCUCUGGAUUGCUUUGCCAAGAAGUCAAGAAUCCAGCGGUCAUUCACGUCAAGAUUUCAAGAAUCCAGGCUACGGAGGGACCGGAAAUAUAAGAUCUGGCCGGCUCAUCCUAGGCAAUAUAUGGACCGCCACAGCUUCAAAUCCCGGAGGUGUCUCCACUACCCAUAAUCUUACUGGCACUGACAUCACAUCCAGCACGACAAUCCCACCACUGUUGCUCCCGCCGCAUACGACGCAAACUCUACCACCGCCUGCAGCAAUCUGUUGUGCUCCUAUAAGCCUCUCAGACUCCAUUAUUUUCUCCCAGUCAUCCGUCUCAGGUUCAUAUUUUUUUAGCGCACCCUUGGCUUCAUCUACCACAUACAUCACCUUCUCAUCCAUGGCUGCCACAGGACCUUUCCACCCAGCAAGCAUUCCCUCUGGCAUGUCCUCCCAAGUGUCCUUCUCAGUGUCAUAAACUGACCCUUCUUUCGCUGCAUCCCCUUUUGCAUUCACCAUACAUAGCUUCCCUCUCCACCCUACUGCAUCAAUGGCGUCUCUACUAAAUCUUCCAUCUUUCAAUCCUUUGACCUUCUCCCAUUUCCAAGAGCUACCCUUGCUCCUGGUCGUCAAACAAUGACC
This 834-nucleotide unclassified non-coding RNA is filed under the name Hevea brasiliensis (rubber tree). The record is from RNAcentral. Lineage: Eukaryota; Viridiplantae; Streptophyta; Magnoliopsida; Malpighiales; Euphorbiaceae.